GGUUGCAUGGUGUAGUUGGUCAUCACGUCAGUUUAACAUCUCAGUUCACUGAAGGUCCUCAGUUCAAACCUGGGUGCGAUCA
This 82-nucleotide transfer RNA is filed under the name Rhodotorula diobovata. RNAcentral describes it as "tRNA-Val". The record is from RNAcentral. Lineage: Eukaryota; Fungi; Basidiomycota; Microbotryomycetes; Sporidiobolales; Sporidiobolaceae.